This 76-nucleotide transfer RNA is filed under the name Thalassospira tepidiphila. RNAcentral's name for it is "tRNA-Ser". The record is from RNAcentral. Lineage: Bacteria; Pseudomonadati; Pseudomonadota; Alphaproteobacteria; Rhodospirillales; Thalassospiraceae.
UGGUGUCGCGGUUUGGUCAUUGCCUGAACGAUCUGCUGUAUCGUUGGAAAAUCGGGGCGCUUCCGAUUGAUAUCGU